This 352-nucleotide unclassified non-coding RNA is filed under the name soil metagenome. RNAcentral describes it as "partial contains 5.8S ribosomal RNA, internal transcribed spacer 2, and large subunit ribosomal RNA". The stretch from base 1 to 120 matches the Rfam family "5.8S ribosomal RNA", at positions 35 to 154 of the family's 154-position model. The record is from RNAcentral.
GAUGAAGAACGCAGCGAAAUGCGAUAAGUAAUGUGAAUUGCAGAAUUCAGUGAAUCAUCGAAUCUUUGAACGCACAUUGCGCCCGCCAGUAUUCUGGCGGGCAUGCCUGUUCGAGCGUCAUUACAACCCUCAGGCCCCCGGGCCUGGCGUUGGGGAUCGGCGGAGCCCCCCGUGGGCACACGCCGUCCCCCAAAUGCAGUGGCGGUCCCGCCGCAGCUUCCAUCGCGUAGUAGCUAACACCUCGCGACUGGAGAGCGGCGCGGCCACGCCGUAAAACACCCAACUCUUCUGAAGUUGACCUCGAAUCAGGUAGGAAUACCCGCUGAACUUAAGCAUAUCAUUAAGCGGAGGA